GACGAACGCUGGCGGCGUGCUUAACACAUGCAAGUCGAGCGGAGCGGCGAACGGGUGAGUAACGCGUGAGUAACUGCCCCCCUCUCUGGGAUAACAGUUGGAAACGGCUGCUAAUACCGGUUAGUGGGGGAUGACUCUCGUCCUAUCGGCUUGUUGGUGGGGUAGUGGCCUACCAAGGCGACGACGGGUAGCCGGCCUGAGAGGGCGACCGGCCAAAUUGGGCGGAGAUACGGCCCAAACGCGUACGGGAGGAAGCAGUGGGGAAUAUGGCACAAUGGGGGAAACCCUGAUGCAGCAACGCGCGUGCGGGAGGACGGCAUUCGGGUUGUAAACCGCUGUCAGCCAUGACGCGGUAGUGGCAGAAGAAGCACCGGCGAACUACGUGCCAGCAGCCGCGGUAAUUC
Molecule: ribosomal RNA, 404 nt
Filed under: uncultured bacterium
Lineage: Bacteria
Description: partial 16S ribosomal RNA
Rfam family: Bacterial small subunit ribosomal RNA
Source: RNAcentral